Molecule: ribosomal RNA, 792 nt
Filed under: uncultured bacterium
Lineage: Bacteria
Description: bacterial SSU rRNA
Rfam family: Bacterial small subunit ribosomal RNA
Source: RNAcentral
AGAGUUUGAUCCUGGCUCAGAACGAACGCUGGCGGCGUGGAUAAGACAUGCAAGUCGAACGGGAUAUUUUUGUAGCAAUACCGAAAUAUUCAGUGGCGAACGGGUGCGUAACACGUGGGUAACAUGCCGGGAAGAGGAGAAUAGCCCAGGGAAACUUGGAUUAAUGCUCCAUGUGGUCGCGAGACUAAAGACGGGGUAACCUGUCGCUUCCUGAUUGGCCCGCGGCCUAUCAGCUAGUUGGUGAGGUAAAGGCUCACCAAGGCAACGACGGGUAGCUGGUCUGAGAGGAUGACCAGCCACACUGGAACUGAGACACGGUCCAGACACCUACGGGUGGCAGCAGUCGAGAAUCUUUCACAAUGGGGGCAACCCUGAUGGAGCGACGCCGCGUGGAGGAUAAGGUCUUCGGAUUGUAAACUCCUGUCAUGCGAGAGUAAGGCUCACGCGUUAACUGCGUGUGAGAUUGACAGUACCGCAAGAGGAAGAGACGGCUAACUCUGUGCCAGCAGCCGCGGUAAUACAGAGGUCUCAAGCGUUGUUCGGAAUUACUGGGCGUAAAGGGUGCGUAGGCUGCGCAGAAAGUCAGCUGUGAAAUCCGGGGGCUCAACCUCCGAAUUGCAUCCGAUACUCCUGUGCUAGAGGACUGGAGAGGAGCUUGGAAUUCUCGGUGUAGCAGUGAAAUGCGUAGAGAUCGAGAGGAACACUAGUGGCGAAAGCUGGGCUCUGGACAGUAUCUGACGCUGAGGCACGAAAGGUCAGGGGAGCAAACGGGAUUAGAUACCCCCGUAGUCC